RNAcentral lists this long non-coding RNA (996 nucleotides) under Felis catus (domestic cat). RNAcentral describes it as "lncRNA (ENSFCAG00000052792.1)". Lineage: Eukaryota; Metazoa; Chordata; Mammalia; Carnivora; Felidae. The record is from RNAcentral.
CUGCAGAUAACUGGAAACAAGCUUCGAAAACAAACUGAAAACUACAAAAUUAAAUAACUGGAAAACUAGCUCAACAUAAAUGAAAAUUACAGUAACUGCUAAAACGAAGAAGCAAAUAACUCUAAAAUUAAUUCUAAAACUAAAAAGUCUACGCGUAAACCUCUGUCUACACGUAAGUCAACAUGGGCCGAACCCUCCCUGAAAGUAAACGGCCUCGGCGAUCUGGGACCAGCGCAGCACCAGGCACUGGCACGGACUCCAGUAGAGACCCCGCGCACACGCGGGUGCACGAAGUUGGCUCGGAUUCCUGCCGGGCCCCGCGGGCGUCAGUAUCGAGUCCAGCGCUUGCGCAGGCGCGCGUGUGGAGCAGACCCGAGAUUCGCGGGCGUCUGCAGCGAGUCCCGGCGCCCGCGCAGGCGCGUGUGAAUGAGCACCGAGGUUCGCGGGUGUCUGCACGGUGCCCCGCAGCUCGCGCAGGCGCCUGAACAGCCCGAAGGCUACUGCACCGAGUCCCGGCGCUCGCGCAGGCGCGUGUGGGGCAGCCCGGAGGUUCGCGGGCGUCUGAGCCGAGUCCCCAGGGCUAACGCUGAAGCGUGUGGAGCAGCUCCCAGGGCCACCUGGGCCAUUCCCUGCAUCCAGGAAGGAUCUGGCGGAGCCUGGAAGGAGAAAGGAUCUUCCCAGCGCUUCAGGACCCGGGUAGCACCUCCCUGCUGGGGACUGACUGUCCAUGUGGCCUUCUUACUGGCAAUUCCACAGAUGGCGGAUCGGAACCACUCUGGAUCCUGCCAAUGCCCUGGCAGCUCUUUCUGCACCGAUUUUAAAUGGCCAAACUCUAUUUUUGUUUUGUUCCUUCCAGAUUUUGCUCUCAUCCCAAUCGAAAGAAACAUAAACUUUGUGAACAUUUUAGGACACUCUGUGGCAUACAAACAGAGUUAUUUUAACUGGGGAGCUGGAGCUGCCUUAAAAAAGCUUCUUGUUCCUUGCCUGAAGGCCUGA